This 253-nucleotide ribosomal RNA is filed under the name uncultured bacterium. RNAcentral describes it as "partial 16S ribosomal RNA". It matches the Rfam family "Bacterial small subunit ribosomal RNA", at positions 524 to 776 of the family's 1533-position model. The record is from RNAcentral.
UACAGAGGUCUCAAGCGUUGUUCGGAUUCAUUGGGCGUAAAGGGUGCGUAGGCGGCGCGGUAAGUCGGGUGUGAAAUCUCGGGGCUUAACUCCGAAACUGCAUUCGAUACUGCCGUGCUUGAGGACUGGAGAGGAGACUGGAAUUUACGGUGUAGCGGUGAAAUGCGUAGAUAUCGUAAGGAAGACCAGUGGCGAAGGCGGGUCUCUGGACAGUUCCUGACGCUGAGGCACGAAGGACAGGGGAGCAAACGGG